AAUAGAUACCCUGGUAGUCCACACAGUAAACGAUGAAUACUCGCUGUUUGCGAUAUACCGCAAGCGGCCAAGCGAAAGCAUUAAGUAUUCCACCUGGGGAGUACGCCGGCAACGGUGAAACUCAAAGGAAUUGACGGGGGCCCGCACAAGCGGAGGAACAUGUGGUUUAAUUCGAUGAUACGCGAGGAACCUUACCCAGGCUUAAAUUGCAGAUGAAUAUAGUAGAAAUAUUAUAGCCUUCGGGCAUCUGUGAAGGUGCUGCAUGGUUGUCGUCAGCUCGUGCCGUGAGGUGUCGGCUUAAGUGCCAUAACGAGCGCAACCCUUAUUGAUAGUUACUAACAGGUUAAGCGGAGGACUCUAUCGAGACUGCCGUCGUAAGAUGCGAGGAAGGUGGGGAUGACGUCAAAUCAGCACGGCCCUUACGUCUGGGGCUACACACGUGUUACAAUGGGGGGUACAGAAGGUCGCUACCUGGCAACAGGAUGCUAAUCCCAAAAGCCUCUCUCAGUUCGGAUUGGAGUCUGCAACCCCG
This 532-nucleotide ribosomal RNA is filed under the name uncultured bacterium. Its description in RNAcentral is "bacterial SSU rRNA". It matches the Rfam family "Bacterial small subunit ribosomal RNA", at positions 777 to 1314 of the family's 1533-position model. The record is from RNAcentral.